This 376-nucleotide ribosomal RNA is filed under the name uncultured bacterium. RNAcentral's name for it is "bacterial SSU rRNA". It matches the Rfam family "Bacterial small subunit ribosomal RNA", at positions 521 to 896 of the family's 1533-position model. The record is from RNAcentral.
UAAUACAGAGGGUGCGAGCGUUAAUCGGAAUUACUGGGCGUAAAGCGUGCGUAGACGGUUUCGUAAGUCGGGUGUGAAAUCCCCGGGCUCAACCUGGGAAUUGCAUUCGAAACUGCGAGGCUAGGGUACGGAAGAGGGAAGCGGAAUUUCUGGUGUAGCGGUGAAAUGCGUAGAUAUCAGAAGGAACAUCAGUGGCGAAAGCGGCUUCCUGGUCCAGUACCGACGUUCAGGCACGAAAGCGUGGGGAGCAAACAGGAUUAGAUACCCUGGUAGUCCACGCCUUAAACGAUGAGAACUAGACGUUGAGAGGGUUAGCCUCCCAGUGUCGCAGCUAACGCGCUAAGUUCUCCGCCUGGGGAGUACGGCCGCAAGGUUG